GACGAACGCUGGCGGCGUGCUUAACACAUGCAAGUCGAACGGUGAACCUCUUCGGAGGGGAUCAGUGGCGAACGGGUGAGUAACACGUGGGCAACCUGCCCCCGGCUCUGGGAUAACUCCAAGAAAUUGGGGCUAAUACCGGAUGUUCACCGCUUCCCGCAUGGGUGGUGGUGCAAAGGGUUUCCGGCUGGGGAUGGGCCCGCGGCCUAUCAGCUUGUUGGUGGGGUAGUGGCCUACCAAGGCGACGACGGGUAGCCGGCCUGAGAGGGUGACCGGCCACACUGGGACUGCGACACGGCCCAGACUCCUACGGGAGGCAGCAGUGGGGAAUAUUGCGCAAUGGGCGGAAGCCUGACGCAGCGACGCCGCGUGGGGGAUGACGGCCUUCGGGUUGUAAACCUCUUUCAGCAGGGACGAAGCGCAAGUGACGGUACCUGCAGAAGAAGCACCGGCCAACUACGU
Molecule: ribosomal RNA, 462 nt
Filed under: uncultured bacterium
Lineage: Bacteria
Description: partial 16S ribosomal RNA
Rfam family: Bacterial small subunit ribosomal RNA
Source: RNAcentral